CCUACGGGAGGCAGCAGUGAGGAAUAUUGGUCAAUGGACGAGAGUCUGAACCAGCCAAGUAGCGUGAAGGAUGACUGCCCUAUGGGUUGUAAACUUCUUUUAUAUGGGAAUAAAAUGUUCCACGUGUGGGAUUUUGUCUGUACCAUAUGAAUAAGGAUCGGCUAACUCCGUGCCAGCAGCCGCGGUAAUACGGAGGGUCCGAGCGUUAUCCGGAUUUAGUGGGUUUAAAGGGAGCGUAGGUGGAUUUUUAAGGCAGUUGUGAAAGUUUGGGGGUUAACCGUAAAAUGGAAGUUGAAACUGGCGGUCUUGAGUGCAGUAGAGGUGGGCGGAAUUCGUGGUGUAGCGGUGAAAUGCUUAGAUAUCACGAGGAACACCGGUUGCGAAGGCAGCUCACUGGACUGCAACUGACGCUGAGGCUCGAAAGUGUGGGUAUCAAACAGGAUUAGAUACCCUUGUAGUC
Molecule: ribosomal RNA, 460 nt
Filed under: uncultured bacterium
Lineage: Bacteria
Description: partial 16S ribosomal RNA
Rfam family: Bacterial small subunit ribosomal RNA
Source: RNAcentral